CCUACGGGAGGCAGCAGUGGGGAAUAUUGCACAAUGGGGGAAACCCUGAUGCAGCGACGCCGCGUGAGUGAAGAAGUACUUCGGUAUGUAAAGCUCUAUCAGCAGGAAAGAAAAUGACGGUACCUGACUAAGAAGCCCCAGCUAACUACGUGCCAGCAGCCGCGGUAAU
RNAcentral lists this ribosomal RNA (169 nucleotides) under uncultured bacterium. RNAcentral describes it as "partial 16S ribosomal RNA". It matches the Rfam family "Bacterial small subunit ribosomal RNA", at positions 338 to 524 of the family's 1533-position model. The record is from RNAcentral.